UAUCUCUGUAGAGUCUGCAUAUCAAUAAGCGGAGGAAAAGAAACUAACUAGGAUUCCCUCAGUAACGGCGAGUGAAGCGGGAAGAGCUCAAAUUUGAAAUCUUCAAGGUUCUACCUUGACGAAUUGUAGUUUAAAGAAGUGUUUUCUGUUGGAGUUUUGGUAAAAGUUCUUUGGAAUAGGACAUCAUAGAGGGUGAGAAUCCCGUAUUUGACCAUUAUUUCCAGCUUUGUGAUACACUUUCAAAGAGUCGGAUUGUUUGGGAAUGCAGUCCAAAAUGGGUGGUAAAUUUCAUCUAAAGCUAAAUAUUGGCGAGAGACCGAUAGCGAACAAGUACCGUGAGGGAAAGAUGAAAAGAACUUUGAAAAGAGAGUUAAACAGUACGUGAAAUUGUCAAAAGGGAAGCGUUUGACACCAGUGUUGUUUUCUCGAAAAUCAAUUAAAAAAGGCAGGAUUUUGUGUUGUAUUGACUUUAUCAGCUUUCUGCACUCUUUUCUUGUCUUUUUUAAUGCACCUUUCGUUUAACAAGUCAACAUCAAUUUCUUUUGUUGUAAAAGGGUCAUUGGAAGGUGGCUUUCUUUUCGGAGAAAGUGUUUAUAGCCUUUGGCCUCUGCAAUCGGAGAGAUUGAGGUCUGCAGCGUAGAUCCUUCGGGGUUAGAUACAUUUGUGCUAAGUUAUAGCCUUUCAUAGACAACUUGUUGACUAUGAUCAGUCAUGUAGCUUACUCGCUUAUGCUAUUUUACCUACGCUUAGGAUGUUGAAGUCAUCGUAUCGCGC
Molecule: ribosomal RNA, 774 nt
Filed under: uncultured Neocallimastigales
Lineage: Eukaryota; Fungi; Neocallimastigomycota; Neocallimastigomycetes; Neocallimastigales
Description: partial large subunit ribosomal RNA
Rfam family: Eukaryotic large subunit ribosomal RNA
Source: RNAcentral